Molecule: long non-coding RNA, 249 nt
Filed under: Lathyrus oleraceus (garden pea)
Lineage: Eukaryota; Viridiplantae; Streptophyta; Magnoliopsida; Fabales; Fabaceae
Description: Pisum sativum (pea) long non-coding RNA (PSAT_LNC030750)
Source: RNAcentral
GAGAAAAUUCAUAAAAAAUAUCAAAUGACAAAAUAAAAAAAAUAAAAAUCAGAAAUAGAAACUAGAAUUUAUUUGGAGACUAAUGCAAUUGGUCCCAUAAUUUUUGGAUUAAAAAUGAGAGACUUAUGAAUUUUUGAAAUAAAAGAAAUUAAAUCAGAAAAUUGAAAAUUCAAAAAAACCAGGAGCAUCAGAUCUGAGCUCAUUAAUUGAGCUGGCAGAUCAUGCGCUCCAGAUGUGCGCUCCCAACUC